RNAcentral lists this ribosomal RNA (419 nucleotides) under bacterium. RNAcentral describes it as "partial 16S ribosomal RNA". It matches the Rfam family "Bacterial small subunit ribosomal RNA", at positions 355 to 776 of the family's 1533-position model. The record is from RNAcentral.
UGGGGGAUAUUGCACAAUGGGCGAAAGCCUGAUGCAGCGACGCCGCGUGGGGGAUGAAGGCCUUCGGGUUGUAAACUUCUUUUGCUCUGAACAAGGCGCACCAUGGGGUGUGUUGAGUGUAGGGGUUGAUUAGCGCCGGCUAACUACGUGCCAGCAGCCGCGGUAAUACGUAGGGCGCGAGCGUUGUCCGGAAUUAUUGGGCGUAAAGGGCUUGUAGGUGGCUGGUUGCGUCUGUCGUGAAAGCUCAUGGCAUAACUGUGGGUUUGCGGUGGGUACGGGCUGGCUUGAGUGCAGUAGGGGAGGCUGGAAUUCCUGGUGUAGCGGUGGAAUGCGCAGAUAUCAGGAGGAAUACCGGUGGCGAAGGCGGGUCUCUGGGCUGUUACUGACACUGAGGAGCGAAAGCAUGGGGAGCGAACAGG